CCUACAAGAAACCAUGCUUUUCUAUUCUAUACAACCGUACACACCAAAUUAAGCAAAGAAGGCACCUUAACUUUCAAGCAAAAUACCAAACUGGAGAUCAAAAUAGGGUUAACCUAUAAUUGACUAUAUAUAUGACUAGGCGAGCGGAUAGAUAUUAAACAGUAGCAAGGUAAAAAUGGAUUCAAUCUUCCAAUAUCAUCUUCAUUCAACAAGAACUUCAAAUCCUUUGCAUGUUCAGAGAGCAAUCUUCAAACAUGAGCUAAGGAAAUAUCCGAUUACAGCUGUAAACAAGGAAGCCUAUGAGCUUAGGUAACAACAGUAGCAGUAAAACAAAUAGAAGAUAAAGCCAGCAGCAAUGUGUCAACUCAGAAAUGAAAAGAGGAAAUCAAUUUUGGAAUAAUUUUAAACCAGUAACAUUGUUAAAUAACCCCAACAAUUAAAUACCAACCAAAACUGUCCCAAACACUUGACUACCAACAUCAUUCAAUUUAUUUUAACUUCUGAAUAUUCAGGGCUUGUUUCAACACAUAAAAACCUUAAAGAUGCUAGGAAAGCUUUGAUAGAAGUGUAUUUUAUGCAGGGUUUAUUGCUCUUUUUUUUUCUAGGAUUUUUAACUCUCCAGUUCUGUAUCUCUCACUCUCCUUUUUAGGAUCUAAAACUCUAAGUUCUCAAAAACUCCAAAGAAAUCUGCAGACUCUCUAGACUUUUUUU
This 711-nucleotide long non-coding RNA is filed under the name Nicotiana benthamiana. Its description in RNAcentral is "long non-coding RNA (NBEN_LNC019986)". Lineage: Eukaryota; Viridiplantae; Streptophyta; Magnoliopsida; Solanales; Solanaceae. The record is from RNAcentral.